RNAcentral lists this ribosomal RNA (552 nucleotides) under Triticum aestivum (bread wheat). RNAcentral describes it as "partial small subunit ribosomal RNA". The record is from RNAcentral. Lineage: Eukaryota; Viridiplantae; Streptophyta; Magnoliopsida; Poales; Poaceae.
UUGCAGCCGGUUAUUGAUAGCCUUGCCAAGAGAUUGAGGGGAUGGAAGGCCAAGCUGAUUGCGCUCCCGGGAAGGAUCGAAUUGGUCAGAUCAGUGCUAACUGCCAUGGCCAUCUACCGGAUCAUGGCGAUCGCGCCGCCAGUAUGGUUCCUUAAAAUGAUUGAUAGGCUGCGACGUGGCUUCCUAUGGGCGGCAGACGAGUCCUCGCCGGGCGGCAAGUGCCUGGUGAGCUGGAAGCAGGUCUGCAGGCCACGCGAGUUUGGAGGCCUGGGGGUGCAUGACUUAUAGCGCCAAAGGGCCGUGCUCCGCGCCCGUUGGUACUGGAACAACUGGAUUGACGACUCCAGGCCUUGGCGCGAGUUGGUGCUGCCACAUGACCCGGCGGCCGAGGGUAUUUUCAGAGCAUCGACGGAGAUAGUCAUCGGCGACGGGAGGAAAGCGAGCUUCUGGCGCUCGCACUGGGCGCAAGGAUGCAGGCCGGCCGAUCGGUGGCCGGAGCUCUUCGCGCACUGCAACGGGCGCCGGCUUACGCUCCGGACGGCCUUGGAGGGC